UUCGACAAAGGCAAACCUAUCGAAAGAUAGGGACGCAAAGCCACAGGGCCUUUCGCAAGAAUGGCAGCCUGGCCACCGAAA
This 81-nucleotide non-coding RNA is filed under the name Bacillus sp. (in: firmicutes). RNAcentral describes it as "Bacillus sp. c-di-GMP sequence". It matches the Rfam family "c-di-GMP-I-GGC riboswitch aptamer". The record is from RNAcentral. Lineage: Bacteria; Bacillati; Bacillota; Bacilli; Caryophanales; Bacillaceae.